Molecule: RNA transcript, 2766 nt
Organism: Cavia porcellus (domestic guinea pig)
Lineage: Eukaryota; Metazoa; Chordata; Mammalia; Rodentia; Caviidae
Gene: Rap1a
Gene name: RAP1A, member of RAS oncogene family
Exons: 10
Source: RefSeq, a predicted model, not a curated record
GGCGCCGCUGCCGCCGCUCUUGAGGCUGCCGCUGUCCCCGUCGCCGUCGCCGCGCAGAGCCGGAGCCCGAGCCGGAGCCACGGCCGAGAGGAGGGAGGAGGAGGUGGAGGAGGAGGUGGAGGAGGCGCCGGACCCGGGGGAUUGUCAGUAUUUAAACAGACCACAUCAUGCGUGAGUACAAGCUAGUGGUCCUUGGUUCAGGAGGCGUGGGAAAGUCUGCUCUGACAGUUCAAUUUGUUCAAGGAAUUUUUGUUGAAAAAUAUGACCCAACGAUAGAAGAUUCCUACAGAAAGCAAGUUGAAGUAGAUUGCCAACAGUGUAUGCUGGAAAUCCUGGAUACAGCAGGGACAGAACAAUUUACAGCUAUGAGGGAUUUGUAUAUGAAGAAUGGCCAAGGGUUUGCACUAGUAUAUUCUAUUACAGCUCAGUCCACGUUUAAUGAUUUACAGGAUUUAAGGGAACAGAUUUUACGGGUUAAGGACACAGAAGAUGUUCCAAUGAUUUUGGUUGGCAAUAAAUGUGACCUGGAAGAUGAGCGAGUAGUUGGCAAAGAACAGGGCCAGAAUUUAGCAAGACAGUGGUGUAACUGUGCCUUUCUAGAAUCUUCUGCAAAGUCAAAGAUCAACGUUAAUGAGAUUUUUCUAUAGUUCAGAGAGAUGAGGAAGAACCUAGGCUGGGGACUUUCAGCAUUUCUAACCCAAUAUUAUAGUUCGAACUUGCCCUCAUCACUGAACCAUCUGCUGCUGUGAGGAAAUACACACUCAACCAUUAAGAGAUCUGUGGUGUGCAUACUACUCGCAAAUGGUUCAGAAAAUAAAUAUGUGUAUGGAGAGACAAAAAAAUAGUAAAGUAAAAGUGGCAAAAUGUUACUGAGUGGUGGAUCUAGGAAGAAUAUACAGAAGUUCUUUGGUACUUUCUUACAACUUUUCUAUAUUUUAUGACCUGGUCAGACAAAUAAAUAGAAAAACACCAGUGGAAAAGAAGAAGCCUAAAAAGAAAUCAUGUCUGCUGCUUUAGAUGUGAAGUCAGCAGCAGCUCUGAGCCAGAUUAUAGGAAUGAAGAACUGUUGCCUAAUUGGAAAGUGCCAGCAUUCCAGACUUCAAAAAAUAAAUCCGAAGAGGCUUCUCCUGUUUUAUAUAUUAUGUGAAGAAUUUAGAUAUUAUAUUGGUUUGCACAAAGUUCUCGGGAGAAAAAAAUUGCUCUGUGUAUAUCUCUUGGAAAGUAAGACAAUAGUAUUUCUCCUUUGCAAUAGCAGUUAUAACAGAUGUGAAAAUAAAUAUACUUGACUCUAAUACAAUUAUACAAAAGAGCAUGGAUGCAUUUUAAAUGUUAGAUAUUGCUACUAUAAUCAAAUAAUUUCAUAUUGAUCUUUUUAUCAUGAUUCUUCCCUGUCAAGCACUAAAAAGUUGAACCAUUAUACUUUAUAUCUGUAAUAUCAAUUAUGAAACUUUUCCUCAACUCAUUGCAGCAGAUAACUUUUUUGAGUCAUUAAUUUCAUUUUAUAUUUAAAAAUUAUGAAAUAUCAUCUGUCAUAUUCUAAUUAAAAUUGUGCAUACUGCUUUGGAAAAAUGGGUCUUUUAUAGGAAAAAACUGGGAUAACUGAUUUCUAUGGCUUUCAAAGCUAAAAUAUAUAAUAUACUAAACCAACUCUAAUAUUGCUUCUUGUGUUUUACUGUCAGAUUAAAUUACAGCUUUUAUGAAUGAUUAAAUUUUAGUACAUUUUCAUUUGGUUUGUGUGUUUUUGUUAUUGUUUAUAGAUCUAAAACCUUUAUUUUAUAAUGACCACCUUGUUCUAAGUGCAACAGUAGCUCCUUUCUACCUGUUGGCUUUAAACUAUACUAACUGGUGAUUUCUCUAGGAACAGACUUCCUGCUUUCUGUUCUAUAUAUAUUUAUUCCAUUAUACAGUAAAAUACAUUGAACUACAUAGAAUAAUUUUGUAUAUUCUCUCUGAAUCCUAAAGAUUGUAUCUUAAUAAAAUAUCCCACUGUGUAUUAUUUUUAUAUGUAAAAAGAUAAGUUUAAUACUGUAUCAGGGUUUAACUUUUACUACUUUAAUCUUCCACAGCUUGUAAUUUCAUUAAGAGAAUCCUUUUGCCAUUGUUAAUUUGCAUGGUAUGGGUCCACCGGUGAAGUGGAUCCACCAGCAAAGGUAUAGGUCCGUCAGUGAAGUGUUACGUGGAAAUCUUUAAACUUGCUUUAAAAUGGUUUGAAGAAUUUGAGAGAAGUCAGUGAAAGUUAAAAUGCCUAAAAGGGAUAUUAGUAACUUUUGCUCCAAGAAUUAGAUAUGAAGUAGUAUAGUACUGUAAUAUUUUAAAAAGAGUUAAAUUUUUAGCUGGCUAUAUAGUGGUGCUUUGCUUUUUCUUCCCAGUUGUUUCCAUUUUUACAAAAUGCAGGCUUAAGUAGGACAUGGACCUGGGGUGAUACUAAUGUGUUCUUCAUAAAGAAAGAGCAAACAGCUUAUUAGCUAGUUAAGUGCUAGAGAAGAAAAGAAACAAGCUUAGGAAACCCUGUGCCUUGUCCCCAAAUAGCAAGAAGGAAACCAGUCCUAGAAAGUCUAAAUCAAGUGCUCAGGGAUCUAGAUACUGUCUCAUUGCAAGUAGAUGUAAAGUAGCAUUCAUGUGGUCAGUUCAUCAAUUAUUAAAUUGAAACUUAAAAGUCAACUCUCAUAUACAAGCUCUGACCAACUGAGAAAAUGUUGAAAAAUAUUGUUUUAAAAGUUGGAAAUUGUAUUAAUUUGAGUUUCUAAUAAACUUAGUUACCUAACA